Molecule: ribosomal RNA, 459 nt
Filed under: uncultured bacterium
Lineage: Bacteria
Description: partial 16S ribosomal RNA
Rfam family: Bacterial small subunit ribosomal RNA
Source: RNAcentral
CCUACGGGUGGCAGCAGUGAGGAAUAUUGGUCAAUGGACGAGAGUCUGAACCAGCCAAGUAGCGUGAAGGAUGACUGCCCUAUGGGUUGUAAACUUCUUUUAUCAGGGAAUAAAAUGAGGCACGUGUGCCUUUUUGCAUGUACCUUAUGAAAAAGCAUCGGCUAACUCCGUGCCAGCAGCCGCGGUAAUACGGAGGAUGCGAGCGUUAUCCGGAUUUCUUGGGUUUAAAGGGUGCGUAGGCGGGCUAUUAAGUCAGCGGUAAAAAUUUGGGGCUCAACCCCAUCCGGUCGUUGAAACUGGGGGCCUUGAGUGGGCGAGAAGUAGGCGGAAUGCGUGGUGUAGCGGUGAAAUGCAUAGAUAUCACGCAGAACUCCGAUUGCGAAGGCAGCCUUCCGGCGCCCUACUGACGCUGAGGCACGAAAGUGCGGGGAUCGAACAGGAUUAGAUACCCGUGUAGUC